UGGGGAAUAUUGGACAAUGGGGGCAACCCUGAUCCAGCAAUGCCGCGUGUGUGAAGAAGGCCUUCGGGUUGUAAAGCACUUUUAUCGGGAACGAAACAUUGUCGGUGAAUAUCCGGCAAGACUGACGGUACCCGAGGAAUAAGCACCGGCUAACUUCGUGCCAGCAGCCGCGGUAAUACGAAGGGUGCAAGCGUUACUCGGAAUUACUGGGCGUAAAGCGUGCGUAGGUGGUUUUUUAAGUCCGUUGUGAAAGCCCUGGGCUCAACCUGGGAAUGGCAGUGGAUACUGGAAAGCUAGAGUGCGGUAGAGGGUAGUGGAAUUCCCGGUGUAGCAGUGAAAUGCGUAGAGAUCGGGAGGAACACCAGUGGCGAAGGCGGCUACCUGGACCAGCACUGACACUGAGGCACGAAAGCGUGGGGAGCAAACA
This 427-nucleotide ribosomal RNA is filed under the name uncultured Xanthomonas sp. Its description in RNAcentral is "partial 16S ribosomal RNA". It matches the Rfam family "Bacterial small subunit ribosomal RNA", at positions 355 to 774 of the family's 1533-position model. Lineage: Bacteria; Pseudomonadati; Pseudomonadota; Gammaproteobacteria; Lysobacterales; Lysobacteraceae. RNAcentral also lists the same sequence under 1 other name. The record is from RNAcentral.